Long non-coding RNA from Xenia sp. Carnegie-2017, 180 nucleotides. RefSeq lists it as uncharacterized. The transcript is spliced from 3 exons. Lineage: Eukaryota; Metazoa; Cnidaria; Anthozoa; Malacalcyonacea; Xeniidae. The record is from RefSeq and is a predicted model, not a curated record.
AGUGGUAUCAUCGCAAAGUACAGUCCCAUCGUUAGUGUGAAGUUUUAGAACAGUGAACCAGCACUUCGCGCAGAUUGUGCGAAAAAGAGAACCAAUGGAAACGAAAGAUAAUUGUAACAUUACUAAAAUUAGUAAAAUUCUUGUAAUAAGCGAUACGUAUCUAUGGCAAAUAUAAACCGA